GCCAACUUAGCUCAACUGGUAGAGCAACGCACUUGUAAUGCGUAGGUUAUCGGUUCAAGUCCGAUAGUUGGCU
This is a transfer RNA of 73 nucleotides. It matches the Rfam family "tRNA". From Rfam's summary of the family: Transfer RNA (tRNA) molecules are approximately 80 nucleotides in length. Their secondary structure includes four short double-helical elements and three loops (D, anti-codon, and T loops). The record is from Rfam.